This 459-nucleotide ribosomal RNA is filed under the name uncultured bacterium. RNAcentral's name for it is "partial 16S ribosomal RNA". It matches the Rfam family "Bacterial small subunit ribosomal RNA", at positions 338 to 795 of the family's 1533-position model. The record is from RNAcentral.
CCUACGGGAGACAGCAGUGAGGAAUAUUGGUCAAUGGCCGGAAGGCUGAACCAGCCAAGCCGCGUGAAGGACGAAGGUGCCAAGCGUUGUAAACUUCUUUUGUCAAGGGACAAAAUCAGGCUCGAGAGCCUGACCGAGGGUACUUGAAGAAAAAGCAUCGGCUAACUCCGUGCCAGCAGCCGCGGUAAUACGGAGGAUGCGAGCGUUAUCCGGAUUUAUUGGGUUUAAAGGGUGCGUAGGGGGGCUGUUAAGUCAGGGGUAAAAGCCCAGGGCUCAACCCCGGUGGGCCGGUGAAACUGGCGGUCAUGAGAUGAGGAGAGGUGGGCGGAAGGCGCAGUGUAGCGGUGAAAGGCUGAGAGAUGGCGAAGAACUCCGAUUGCGAAGGCAGCACACCGGAGGGGAUCUGACGCGGAGGCACGAAAGUGUGGGUAUCGAACAGGAUGAGAUACCCCAGUAGUC